Molecule: long non-coding RNA, 446 nt
Organism: Suricata suricatta (meerkat)
Lineage: Eukaryota; Metazoa; Chordata; Mammalia; Carnivora; Herpestidae
Exons: 3
Source: RefSeq, a predicted model, not a curated record
AUGCAUGGAAGGAUGACAGCAGCAGGACCCUGCUCCAGUGGGGGCUGGCUUCCCUUAGCAUGGCCCUGCCUGUCGUGUGCAGGAUGCCAGCACACUUCUUACUUCUAGCAUCCGAGUCACUGUAUCAUGUGCUGCUGGGCCCAGCUGUGUGCCCUGCUGGGGCUGCUCGUCCACCUGCUCUGAGAAUGGGCUUCUAGGUUCUGCAGGGACACAGCAUCUGGAUUUGUUGACCAUAGCUAUGCAUUGUGCAAGACUCCACAGUCCAUCUCAUUCUUCUUGGAUACCAGCCUCUGAAGAGUGGGAGACUUGUCUGUUUGACACAUCAGAGCAUCCCCAGUGCCUAGAGCAGUGACUGGCACAUGGUACUGGGGAUCCAGCAACAAGUCAUGUGGACAAGAUUCCUGCCCUCACAGGGUGGACAUUGCUGUGGGCAAAUAGAAUGCCAG